GGGAUGUAGCUCAGUGGUACAGCUCUUGCCUGGCAUGCAUGAAGUCCUGGAUUCAAUCCCCAGUACUGCCC
RNAcentral lists this transfer RNA (71 nucleotides) under Marmota monax (woodchuck). RNAcentral's name for it is "tRNA.Ala". The stretch from base 5 to 65 matches the Rfam family "tRNA", at positions 6 to 65 of the family's 71-position model. Rfam says of the family: Transfer RNA (tRNA) molecules are approximately 80 nucleotides in length. Lineage: Eukaryota; Metazoa; Chordata; Mammalia; Rodentia; Sciuridae. The record is from RNAcentral.